Molecule: ribosomal RNA, 461 nt
Filed under: uncultured archaeon
Lineage: Archaea
Description: partial 16S ribosomal RNA
Source: RNAcentral
AGGUGGCUCGCUUCACGGCUUCCCUACGGCACCGACAACGGUCGCACCGUGGCCGACACCUAGCGAGUAUCGUUUACGGCUAGGACUACCCGGGUAUCUAAUCCGGUUCGUGCCCCUAGCUUUCGUCCCUUGCCGUCAGGUCCGUUCUGGUGAGACGCCUUCGCCACUGGUGGUCCUUCAAGGAUUACAAGAUUUCACCCCUACCCCUGAAGUACCUCUCACCUCUCCCGGCCUCGAGCCAGACAGUAUCUCCUGAAAGCCUGACAGUUAAGCUGCCAGAUUUCUCAAGAGACUUAUCCGGCCGGCUACAGACCCUUUAGACCCAAUAAUAACGGUUACCACUCGAGCCGCCGGUGUUACCGCGGCGGCUGGCACCGGUCUUGCCCGGCCCUUGCUAUGAAAUGCUUUUUAGGCAUCUCGACAGCCAGAUUUGUAACCUGGCACUCGAGGUUCCCUUAUCG